UUGCCUCCCACAUCCCAAGGACGUGUGGGUGUGUAGGUUGAUUGGACUCCGCUGAAAACUGUCCCUG
Amblyraja radiata (thorny skate) is the source of this 67-nucleotide long non-coding RNA. RefSeq lists it as uncharacterized. The record is from RefSeq and is a predicted model, not a curated record. Lineage: Eukaryota; Metazoa; Chordata; Chondrichthyes; Rajiformes; Rajidae. The transcript is spliced from 3 exons.